Molecule: non-coding RNA, 606 nt
Organism: Danio rerio (zebrafish)
Lineage: Eukaryota; Metazoa; Chordata; Actinopteri; Cypriniformes; Danionidae
Source: Ensembl
UCUAUGGUCGCGAUCCCAAGGUUCAUUGCGAUCCCAAGGUUCACUGCGGUUUUCCACAAGCCUGUUUCUGCCUAUCACCAUGAGUGAUUCCUUGAUACUCAGAUUGAUAAUCAAGAUCUCAAUUAUAACCUCAAGUCUUGAUGACAGCUUGAUGAUCUCCAAGAAGCACCACCAUGUAAAGAAGGCCAAGACCACUCUGGAAUCAGUCAAGGCUCAUAGGAACUCCAAUCUUCCCAACUGUGAGAGGGCCUUGCUCCAGUGGCUGAUUGGAGUGACCAGACAUGCUACUGUAACUCUCAUGGUCAUGUGCUGGAAUUAGCAGAUAUUCAACAAUUUGGCCAUCUCGCUGACCUGUUGAUUUCAGAAGACUGCAACAGCUCUGCAAAGCAAGUUGCAAAACACAAUCCAUGGAACUGGCAGUGACCGGAAACCAAUUGGAAGACUUUGGUCUGUGAUGUAGAGGAGAGGGCAGGUGAGGAAAUUAUUAUUAAUAUUACAUGUAGUCAUGAAAUAUUGUAAGUGUUACUAUUAUUGUUAUUAUUUUUUUUUUCAGUAGCAGACGCAAAGACAACAAAAAACAGAAGUGAUAUGGAUGUCUUCGUCAUA